Molecule: transfer RNA, 72 nt
Filed under: Camelus ferus (Wild Bactrian camel)
Lineage: Eukaryota; Metazoa; Chordata; Mammalia; Artiodactyla; Camelidae
Rfam family: tRNA
About the family: Transfer RNA (tRNA) molecules are approximately 80 nucleotides in length. Their secondary structure includes four short double-helical elements and three loops (D, anti-codon, and T loops).
Source: Rfam by way of RNAcentral
GCGGGUUUAGCUCAGUGGUAGAGCACAUGCUUAGUAUGCACGAGGUCUUGGGUUCCAUCCCCAGUAUCUCCA